GCCUAGCAGGCUAUUACUGCCCUGCUGGCACGAAACACCGAAGCGAGAUGCCAUGCCCUGCUGGUACCUGGAACGAGAGGAGGGGAGCCCAGGAUGCCAGCUGGUGUCUACCCUGCCCCCCUGGGUUCUUCUGCAAUGUGGCAGGCCAGGUUUCCCCUACAGGGCUUUGUGCAGCAGGCUAUUACUGCACAGGAGGGACACGGACCCCAAAGCCAAUGGAUGCUGUGACGGGGGAUCUCUGUCCCGAAGGACACUUCUGCCUUGCAGGCUCAGCAGCACCCUCCCCGUGCCCAGAUGGGGAAUACAGCAAUGCAACAGGUCAAGACAAAUGCUUCCCAUGUCCAGCUGGGUUUCACUGUCAGCGCGGCAUAAUGCACCAUUGUCCACCUGGCUUUUACUGCCCCCAGAAGACUGGAAUCAGCUUUUACCCUUGUCCAGCUGGCACUUACAACCCAUCUCAUGGAAUCAGCCAGGCCGAGAGGUGCCAGCAAUGCCCUGCAGGGAUGUUUUGUGGAGAAUGGGGAUUAUCCUCUCCGAGUGGCCCCUGCUGGCCAGGAUUCUUCUGCACAGCAGGAGCCAGUGUCCCAAACCCUGAUGGAUCCACAAAUACAAGCACUGGAGGCCCAUGCCCACCUGGGCAUUUUUGCCCAGCUGGGACCAGCAUCCCAUUUCCAUGCCCCGUGGGCACGUUCUCGGACAGACGCUACCUCUGGCUGGAGUCAAGCUGCACUGUGUGUCCGCCUGGCUAUUACUGCAGCUCAACCGGUCUCGCCGCUCCCUCGGGAUCCUGCUCUGCUGGCUACUACUGCCUCGCUGGAGCCUCCUCCUCCUCCUCCCCAGCAGACAUAUGGCACAAAGGAGGCCCUUGCCCUGUGAGCCACUUCUGUCCAGAAGGGACCGGCUAUCCCCUUCCCUGCCUUGCAGGAACUUAUAACAACCUGACCAGACAAGCUGCAUGUUCGCCUUGUGCAGCUGGCUACUACUGCCCUGAAAACACCACCAGCUACCAUGCCUA
RNAcentral lists this long non-coding RNA (1015 nucleotides) under Chrysemys picta bellii (western painted turtle). Its description in RNAcentral is "lncRNA (ENSCPBG00000017719.1)". Lineage: Eukaryota; Metazoa; Chordata; Testudines; Emydidae. The record is from RNAcentral.